AAAUACUCAUGAAUGACCGAUAGUGAACUAGUACAGUGAGGGAAAGGUGAAAAGUACACUUAUAAAGGGAGUGUAAUAGAAUCUGAAACAGCUUGCAUACAAGCAGUAGGAGCAUGAUUUAGUAAUGUGACUGCGUACCUUAUGUAUAAUGGGUCAGCGAGUUUUUUUUAGUGGCUAGGAUAACUGAAUUAGGGAUCCGUAGCGAAAGCGAGUUUUAUUAGGGCGACUAG
This 230-nucleotide ribosomal RNA is filed under the name Francisella tularensis subsp. holarctica. RNAcentral's name for it is "partial 23S ribosomal RNA". It matches the Rfam family "Bacterial large subunit ribosomal RNA", at positions 468 to 699 of the family's 2925-position model. The record is from RNAcentral. Lineage: Bacteria; Pseudomonadati; Pseudomonadota; Gammaproteobacteria; Thiotrichales; Francisellaceae.